Molecule: ribosomal RNA, 180 nt
Filed under: uncultured Glomeromycotina
Lineage: Eukaryota; Fungi; Glomeromycota
Description: partial small subunit ribosomal RNA
Rfam family: Eukaryotic small subunit ribosomal RNA (bases 91-180)
Source: RNAcentral
GGGUCAGUAGAUUGGUCUUGCCGCAAGGUAAGCACUGCUCCGAUCGGGUCUUUCCUUCUGGGGAACCAGCGUGCUCUUAAUUGGGUGCGCUGGGGAUCCAGGACUUUUACUUUGAAAAAAUUAGAGUGUUUAAAGCAGGCCUACGCUUGAAUACAUUAGCAUGGAAUAAUAGAAUAGGAC